GUGUUCACUUCAGCAGCACAUAUACUAAAAUUGGAAUGAUACAGAGAAGAUUGGCAUGGCCCCCGCUCCAAGAUGACAUACAAAUUCAUCAAGCAUUCCAUAUUUCU
This is a small nuclear RNA of Oryctolagus cuniculus (rabbit), 107 nucleotides long. NCBI's taxonomy places the organism in Eukaryota, Metazoa, Chordata, Mammalia, Lagomorpha, Leporidae. The record is from Ensembl.